This 401-nucleotide long non-coding RNA is filed under the name Androctonus crassicauda. Lineage: Eukaryota; Metazoa; Arthropoda; Arachnida; Scorpiones; Buthidae. The record is from RNAcentral.
UGCAGAUGGUACGAGGAGUGGCUGGCAGUAGAAGGGUUAAAUAUUGACAGAUUUACAAAUUGUUUUUCUUUUGUUCUAGGGUCUCUGAGAAUAUUGUGGAGUAGCAAGACAAUAAUUGCAGUGUAUGACAUUACUGUGAGCAAAUGAUAAUAUGGCAGACAAACUGUCUUUGCAGGAUCAUGCCAAGAUUGCUUCAUAGUUUGAAAGGUAGAUAUCUGUCAUCCUUGUGCAGGAAUGGUGGCAAAGCAUUCACAGGCAAUAUACUAAACUUCAUCCAUACAUUAUCCAAAAAUUGUCACAAAAAAUUAAUGGCAGCUGGAUCAAUUACAGAUGCAAUUGAUCUGGUUGCCAUUAAUUUUUUUGUAGCAUAUUAGUUAAAUCAACAUGCCAAAUUUAUUCUC